UCGGGAUAGCUCANCUGGUAGAGCAGAGGACUGAAAAUCCUCCGUGUCC
This 49-nucleotide transfer RNA is filed under the name Gilbertiodendron brachystegioides. Its description in RNAcentral is "partial tRNA-Phe". Lineage: Eukaryota; Viridiplantae; Streptophyta; Magnoliopsida; Fabales; Fabaceae. The record is from RNAcentral.